Molecule: ribosomal RNA, 301 nt
Filed under: uncultured bacterium
Lineage: Bacteria
Description: partial 16S ribosomal RNA
Rfam family: Bacterial small subunit ribosomal RNA
Source: RNAcentral
CAGUAGCCGCGGGAACACGUAGAUGGCAAGCGUUGUCCGGAAUUAUUGGGCGUAAAGGGCUCGCAGGCGGUUUCUUAAGUCUGAUGUGAAAGCCCCCGGCUCAACCGGGGAGGGUCAUUGGAAACUGGGAAACUUGAGUGCAGAAGAGGAGAGUGGAAUUCCACGUGUAGCGGUGAAAUGCGUAGAGAUGUGGAGGAACACCAGUGGCGAAGGCGACUCUCUGGUCUGUAACUGACGCUGAGGAGCGAGAGCGUGGGGAGCGAACAGGAUUAGAGACCCCCGUAGUCCCUGUCUCUUAUAC